Molecule: ribosomal RNA, 467 nt
Filed under: uncultured bacterium
Lineage: Bacteria
Description: partial 16S ribosomal RNA
Rfam family: Bacterial small subunit ribosomal RNA
Source: RNAcentral
ACGAACGCUGGCGGCGUGCUUAACACAUGCCAGUCGAACGGAAAGGCCCUGCUUUUGUGGGGUGCUCGAGUGGCGAACGGGUGAGUAACACGUGAGUAACCUGCCCUUGACUUUGGGAUAACUUCAGGAAACUGGGGCUAAUACCGGAUAGGAGCUCCUGCUGCAUGGUGGGGGUUGGAAAGUUUCGGCAGUUGGGGAUGGACUCGCGGCUUAUCAGCUUGUUGGUGGGGUAGUGGCUUACCAAGGCUUUGACGGGUAGCCGGCCUGAGAGGGUGACCGGCCACAUUGGGACUGAGAUACGGCCCAGACUCCUACGGGAGGCAGCAGUGGGGAAUAUUGCACAAUGGGCGGAAGCCUGAUGCAGCAACGCCGCGUGCGGGAUGACGGCCUUCGGGUUGUAAACCGCUUUCGCCUGUGACGAAGCGUGAGUGACGGUAAUGGGUAAAGAAGCACCGGCUAACUACGUG